RNAcentral lists this ribosomal RNA (396 nucleotides) under Escherichia coli. Its description in RNAcentral is "partial 23S ribosomal RNA". It matches the Rfam family "Bacterial large subunit ribosomal RNA", at positions 2261 to 2656 of the family's 2925-position model. RNAcentral also lists the same sequence under 1 other name. The record is from RNAcentral. Lineage: Bacteria; Pseudomonadati; Pseudomonadota; Gammaproteobacteria; Enterobacterales; Enterobacteriaceae.
GUGGGUAGUUUGACUGGGGCGGUCUCCUCCUAAAGAGUAACGGAGGAGCACGAAGGUUGGCUAAUCCUGGUCGGACAUCAGGAGGUUAGUGCAAUGGCAUAAGCCAGCUUGACUGCGAGCGUGACGGCGCGAGCAGGUGCGAAAGCAGGUCAUAGUGAUCCGGUGGUUCUGAAUGGAAGGGCCAUCGCUCAACGGAUAAAAGGUACUCCGGGGAUAACAGGCUGAUACCGCCCAAGAGUUCAUAUCGACGGCGGUGUUUGGCACCUCGAUGUCGGCUCAUCACAUCCUGGGGCUGAAGUAGGUCCCAAGGGUAUGGCUGUUCGCCAUUUAAAGUGGUACGCGAGCUGGGUUUAGAACGUCGUGAGACAGUUCGGUCCCUAUCUGCCGUGGGCGCUG